This is a long non-coding RNA of Pangasianodon hypophthalmus (striped catfish), 2106 nucleotides long. RefSeq lists it as uncharacterized. NCBI's taxonomy places the organism in Eukaryota, Metazoa, Chordata, Actinopteri, Siluriformes, Pangasiidae. The record is from RefSeq and is a predicted model, not a curated record. The transcript is spliced from 3 exons.
GUUUACAAAAACAGUUUUAAACUACAUUAUCCAGGUAAAGUCAUUACCCAUAAAGCCACACACUUCCUUCAGACUCACAACCAAUAGAUAGGCAGUUUUGAGACAGACAGGUAUAGUUACCAAUUAUACAGAACCUCCUUAUUUUAGCUCCACCCCUAAUUUAACCUAGAUCCCACCCCAGAGCUUAUUUAAGGAUAUGGAUGGGAACAAAAAGCAUAUGUCCUCUGAAGAAGCAGGAUUCCCUGCGAAACGUUAGGACGUCGAACUCAAAAAGCACCGUGAACUGCACAUCAAAAAGAUACUGUUUGACGGGGAAAACAUUGCCAAUUUUUGUGUCCUGUUUUACACAAAAAAAUUUUUUAAUGGAGAAAAAUCCUUUUUAAACCGUUUUGUGAGUACUCACAUUUUUAAACCCUUUCUUUUUUUUGGGUUUUUAUUCCCCCCUCCCUUUUUUUCGGUUUUAUUCCCCCUUCUUUUUGGAGUACAACACCCAAGCCAGAGGGGCCUACAAAACUUCCUGUUUGGUGAACUCCUAGGCCGCUUAGGCCUUCUGGUAAGGAACUGAGUUGUUAAUCAGCUACAGGAUCCUUGUCCCAAGGAUUCUUAUCAGCAUACUCAUGGGAGUCCGAGUAAAGACGACACAAACCUUGUGGCAAGUUCUCCACAGAUGCAUUUAUCGAAAAGCAAUGGAACACCUCGGCCUUUAAACAACAACUCCGAUAAGACCAAGGGGGAGCCGACCCAGGGGGAUAGGAAGCAGGAGAGGAAGGAGGUGAUGAAUGGGUCUACAGAAAGGAAGACCACGUCCUUGAGAAAAGCCCGAUCUGAAUCCUCCCUUUCCCUUUCCCCUUCCUCUUUCUCGUUGACUCCCCUGCAUGUGGAACAUCCGGACAGGGUGGAGCCCCAAAUAAAAACCUGUGAAGUGAGGAACCAUUGGGUUCCUACUAGACAUCCUAACACCACUAGAAAGAUUGCAGAUUGGACACUGGAAGUAAAGAAACCAGUUUUGUUUAUAGGGGACUCCAACCUGUCCAGAAUUCCCUAUUUUAGUGACGAAAAUGUUCAGGUGGAUAGUUACCCUGGAGCCAACUUUUUACAUAUAGCCAAAGUGUUACAAAAAUUAACCCCUAAUCCAAACACUCAAAAAGUCGUCCUAUCAUUAGGAAUCAAUAAUAGAGAACAAACAUUCGAAAGUACAACAAAAAAACAGUUGCAAGAGCUGUGGAGAAUUGCUGCAGUGGUUUUUCCCAAUGCCACGAUCUACACCCCAUUAUUAAACUACUCGGAUAUCCUACCUAGACGACAACAAGAAACUCUAACAAAACUGAACACUCAUAUACUGGCACAUGGUAAUCCAUUGCAGGAACUUCACCCACUUAGGUUCAAGGUGAACCCGAGGGACCCUAUCCACUGGACCACGGAAACGGCUUCGCAAAUGUUUACAUACUGGUUGGAUCAGUUAAACUUUUAGGAAUGGUGAAGUGCAAUAAAACAGACAACAAAAAGCACACCAACAUCAUUAACCUAUCCAAAACGUUUUGUCUCACAGGUCCGCAGGAGGAUUUACUCAGCAAGGGUCUCACCUUCAUCCCGACGCCAUGCGGUACGGACUUGGGGGAGCUGGGGAGGGAUGUCCACGCUUACAAUAGACAACUUAAAAUUUUAGACCACUUCCAAUACACAAAAUGUAAAGAACACUUACAGUUUACAGAAAAAUCCAGAUGGGAACCGAGCACCGAACAGACCAGUUUACCUAUAAAGCAGUUGAUUAAAAAGAACAGGAUGAUUAUCAAUUCUCUUUCAGAUUUUUCCAACAAUCAAGCAGAUAAUUUAACCGCCACAGAACGCAGAGCACUCAAAGAAUUACAAACCAACAAAGAUAUAAUAAUUAAACCGGCAGAUAAAGGCUCAGCGAUCGUCAUAAUGGACAAACAACAAUACUUACUAGAAGCAAAUAGACAAUUAAACAAUACCAGUCAUUACACUUUACUUCCACACUCAUUACAACAGGAAACACAAUCAUUGGUAACAUCCAUUUUACAGGACUUAAAACAGAAAGGCUUCAUUAACACUAAACAGUUUAAUUAUCUUAUUGGUCCAAACCCA